UUACGCUGUUAUCCCUAAGGUAAUUUAUUUUAAAAUUCAAAUUUUUAGGUUUAUAAAUUCAUUAAUUUAUGUUUGAUUAUUUUAAAAGUUUAUAAAAUUAAAAAAUUACCCCAAUUAAAUAUUAAUUAAAAUUUAUAUUAUUAAUAAUUAUAAUUUUAAUUUUAAUUAAUAUAAAAUUCUAAAGGGUCUUCUCGUCUUUUAAUAAUAUUUAAGAAUUUUAACUUAAAUUUUAAUUUUAAUUUAACAUUUUAUUUAUAAAGUUUAUAUUUCAUUUAAUCUUUCAUUCUAGUUUUUAAUUAAAAAACUAAUUAUUAUGCUACCUUUGUACAGUUAUUGAUACUGCAGCCAUUUAAAAUUUCAGUGGGCAGAUUAGACUUAAAAUUAUUUUCAAUCAGACAUGUUUUUGUUAAACAGGCG
Molecule: ribosomal RNA, 417 nt
Filed under: Adialytus arvicola
Lineage: Eukaryota; Metazoa; Arthropoda; Insecta; Hymenoptera; Braconidae
Description: partial 16S ribosomal RNA
Source: RNAcentral